GGCAGUCCUUGGUAAUAGAUUGACUAGCUGUCAAAUAAAUUUGUAAUUUUAGAUGAGAUGGGCUUUAGACCAAUUUUAAGAUACAGUCUUUAUCCAAGUGUGCUCCCCUCCCCCCAGUCAAGUAGACACAGUAUGCCAGAGAAUCCUGCUUCAUUCCCAGUGUUUCUGCUGCAGUGGCUACACAGCUCCUGCACAGUUGGACUGUAAUGCUUUUAUAGGCUUCUCUGGGAAGCUGGAUAGCGAAUGAAAUGUAGAUAUAAAAUUAAUUUGUGUUUUAAAAAAGCUCACGUGCUGAUAGCGCCGUGUGUUUGCUGGAAUCCUCUUGAGUAGCCAAGAUUCUUUCCCUUUCCUACUUUGUGCUUCAUACUUGUGUUCUUAGAAGGGGAAAGCCCUUUUCCAGUCAGGUGUCCUGGGAGGGGGGAAGUGUGUGAGUGUGUCUGUGUGCGUGCAGAAUCAUAACAGGCAUCCAGUCCCAGCUGGGCAAUGACACUAAUUGCCCAGAUCUCAUGGAUGCCUGCGAUGGAGCACGCUCACUUUCUCUCCUUUCCUAGCCUCUCCAGGGAUUUUUAAAAUGCAGUAUUUGAAUUUUGGUGAGUGGUAAAGACCCUGCCCUAGGACCCAUUUGACAAAUGAGAAGCUGUGCAGCAUCAGCACCAGCCGACUGAGCCUCACUGAGUCUCUCUCUCUCUCUCCUAGUCAGCAGCUACUGUUGUGAGACAAGCUUCAGCUCUCUGUCAUUGAGGAAGUUCCAUUUGCUCAUCAAUAGGCUGCAGGCUGUGUCUUCUUUUUUUCCUCUCUGUUAAAAAAUCGUAGUUUAAACCUACCAAGUUGCCUUAGCUGACAAACGAAUGUAGGGGCUUAGCGCUGGGGAGAGGAAAGGCGUUGGAGAAACAGCGUUUCUUAUUUAAAUAAUCGAAAGGGAGGGGAAAAAAAAAAAAGAAAAGAAAAGAAAAACAACAACCAACCCGUAGUGACAAGAUAGGGCAAACGUGCUUGCAUGCAAGCCCCCUCACUUGUUCUACGUAGACUUCAGAGCAACACCAUGCAGCAUCCCCUUACGGGUGCAACCUGCGUGGCACUGCCGAAUGUGGGCAUGUGUCCCCAGCUCUCCUGUGCCUUGACUUUUAUGUACUUACAGCAGCUGGGCCUUGAAUAAUUGUCCAGUAGCUGAUGGACUGAGGGUAGGCAAUAUUUUCAGGGUUUUCUGAUUCAUUUAACCAGCUUGGCUGCCCCAAGAGAAACACAGUGCUUGUUUAUUCAUAUGUGUAGGGUAAAAGUCUGUGCGAUGUCAGACAAAUUAUAGCACUCUGGUAAAACAAAAAAGGAGCUACCAUGCUACAGACUGUAUCCUGUGGAUGCAUUUGUACCUAAGGGGGCACUGUGGCACUCC
Molecule: long non-coding RNA, 1390 nt
Filed under: Cyanistes caeruleus (blue tit)
Lineage: Eukaryota; Metazoa; Chordata; Aves; Passeriformes; Paridae
Description: lncRNA (ENSCCEG00000008474.1)
Source: RNAcentral